GAGGAGUAUGGGGCUGGCGCCCUGCCCGGUCUGCAAAACCGGUAUCUUGGUCUAAUAAAGGCUGAUGUGGGUUCGAUUCCCACUACUCCUCUCCA
RNAcentral lists this small RNA (95 nucleotides) under Nitrospirota bacterium. RNAcentral describes it as "Nitrospirae bacterium (sediment metagenome) tRNA-Cys". It matches the Rfam family "Selenocysteine transfer RNA". Lineage: Bacteria; Pseudomonadati; Nitrospirota. The record is from RNAcentral.